AUUGAACGCUGGCGGCAUGCUUUACACAUGCAAGUCGAACGGUAACAGGCCGCAAGGUGCUGACGAGUGGCGAACGGGUGAGUAAUGCAUCGGAACGUGCCCAGUCGUGGGGGAUAACUACUCGAAAGAGUAGCUAAUACCGCAUACGAUCUAUGGAUGAAAGCGGGGGACCGUAAGGCCUCGCGCGAUUGGAGCGGCCGAUGUCAGAUUAGGUAGUUGGUGGGGUAAAGGCUCACCAAGCCAACGAUCUGUAGCUGGUCUGAGAGGACGAGCAGCCACACUGGGACUGAGACACGGCCCAGACUCCUACGGGAGGCAGCAGUGGGGAAUUUUGGACAAUGGGCGCAAGCCUGAUCCAGCAAUGCCGCGUGCAGGAAGAAGGCCUUCGGGUUGUAAACUGCUUUUGUACGGAACGAAACGGCUCUGGUUAAUACCCGGGGCUAAUGACGGUACCGUAAGAAUAAGCACCGGCUAACUACGUG
This 482-nucleotide ribosomal RNA is filed under the name uncultured bacterium. Its description in RNAcentral is "partial 16S ribosomal RNA". It matches the Rfam family "Bacterial small subunit ribosomal RNA", at positions 30 to 507 of the family's 1533-position model. The record is from RNAcentral.